Molecule: ribosomal RNA, 301 nt
Filed under: uncultured bacterium
Lineage: Bacteria
Description: partial 16S ribosomal RNA
Rfam family: Bacterial small subunit ribosomal RNA
Source: RNAcentral
CAGUCGCCGCGGGAAUACAGAGGGUGCGAGCGUUAAUCGGAUUUACUGGGCGUAAAGCGUGCGUAGGCGGCUUUUUAAGUCGGAUGUGAAAUCCCUGAGCUUAACUUAGGAAUUGCAUUCGAUACUGGGAAGCUAGAGUAUGGGAGAGGAUGGUAGAAUUCCAGGUGUAGCGGUGAAAUGCGUAGAGAUCUGGAGGAAUACCGAUGGCGAAGGCAGCCAUCUGGCCUAAUACUGACGCUGAGGUACGAAAGAAUGGGGAGCAAACAGGAUUAGAGACCCGAGUAGUCCCUGUCUCUUAUAC